GAUGAACGCUGGCGGCGUGCCUAAUACAUGCAAGUCGAGCGAACGGACGAGAAGCUUGCUUCUCUGAUGUUAGCGGCGGACGGGUGAGUAACACGUGGAUAACCUACCUAUAAGACUGGGAUAACUUCGGGAAACCGGAGCUAAUACCGGAUAAUAUUUUGAACCGCAUGGUUCAAAAGUGAAAGACGGUCUUGCUGUCACUUAUAGAUGGAUCCGCGCUGCAUUAGCUAGUUGGUAAGGUAACGGCUUACCAAGGCAACGAUGCAUAGCCGACCUGAGAGGGUGAUCGGCCACACUGGAACUGAGACACGGUCCAGACUCCUACGGGAGGCAGCAGUAGGGAAUCUUCCGCAAUGGGCGAAAGCCUGACGGAGCAACGCCGCGUGAGUGAUGAAGGUCUUCGGAUCGUAACUCUGUUAUUAGGGAAGAACAUAUGUGUAAGUAACUGUGCACAUCUUGACGGUACCUAAUCAGAAAGCCACGGCUAACUACGUG
This 495-nucleotide ribosomal RNA is filed under the name uncultured bacterium. Its description in RNAcentral is "partial 16S ribosomal RNA". It matches the Rfam family "Bacterial small subunit ribosomal RNA", at positions 28 to 507 of the family's 1533-position model. The record is from RNAcentral.